This 78-nucleotide transfer RNA is filed under the name Bacillus phage vB_BcoS-136. RNAcentral describes it as "tRNA-Pro". It matches the Rfam family "tRNA". Rfam says of the family: Transfer RNA (tRNA) molecules are approximately 80 nucleotides in length. Their secondary structure includes four short double-helical elements and three loops (D, anti-codon, and T loops). Lineage: Duplodnaviria; Heunggongvirae; Uroviricota; Caudoviricetes. The record is from RNAcentral.
CUGGAAGUAGCUCAGUUUGUGUAGAGUACUUGCGUUGGAUGCAAGGGGUCGCAGGUUCAAAUCCUGUCUUCCAGACCA